RNAcentral lists this ribosomal RNA (493 nucleotides) under uncultured bacterium. RNAcentral's name for it is "partial 16S ribosomal RNA". It matches the Rfam family "Bacterial small subunit ribosomal RNA", at positions 29 to 507 of the family's 1533-position model. The record is from RNAcentral.
ACGAACGCUGGCGGCGUGCUUAACACCUGCCAGUCGAACGGUGAAGCGCCUUCCUUUUUGGUGGGUGUGGAUGAGUGGCGAACGGGUGAGUAACACGUGAGUAACCUGCCCCCUUCUUCUGGAUAACCGCAUGAAAGUGUGGCUAAUACGGGAUAUUCUGGGUCUGUCGCAUGAUGGGUCUGGGAAAGAUAUUGUUUCGGUGGGGGAUGGGCUCGCGGCCUAUCAGCUUGUUGGUGGGGUGAUGGCCUACCAAGGCGGUGACGGGUAGCCGGCCUGAGAGGGUGGACGGUCACACUGGGACUGAGACACGGCCCAGACUCCUACGGGAGGCAGCAGUGGGGAAUAUUGCACAAUGGGCGCAAGCCUGAUGCAGCGACGCCGCGUGAGGGAUGGAGGCCUGCGGGUUGUGAACCUCUUUCGCCAGUGAAGCAGGCCUGCCUCGUUUGUGGGUGGGUUGACGGUAGCUGGAGAAGAAGCGCCGGCUAACUACGUG